Molecule: long non-coding RNA, 2616 nt
Filed under: Sorghum bicolor (sorghum)
Lineage: Eukaryota; Viridiplantae; Streptophyta; Magnoliopsida; Poales; Poaceae
Description: long non-coding RNA (SBIC_LNC015670)
Source: RNAcentral
AAAUCUCUCUUUUGUGGUAUUUCUGGAUCCUUACCAAGGCAGUGAUGGUAUAUGCCUUCUCUCAAAAUAUGUAGUAUUUGUGGUAUAAAGCAUAGUGACAUUGCCUUCUCUCACCCUACUCUAAUAAGGAUUUAAUAUCUGGAGCUCAUAGGUGGGAGAUAAAGUAUACAUACUUUCAAGACAUGUAUUGCAUAGUCAAACCAUGGAUCCAAAGAAACAAAUCAAUAAGUCAAAUCAAGAUGUGCAUGUGUGGCGAAUGAAUGGUAUAUGGUGAUGAUGGUGAUAACAAUGGCGGAAGUCUAAUUCUACUUUUGCUCUUUUAAGGGGAUACAUACCUUCCUUGCUUUUUGAAACUUUAUGUGGAGAAUGAGAUGCUCUUAUUUUUCUUUUCUCUCAGGUGGGUAUUUUGUACCCCUAAUUCUACUGUCGGAUACUUGUCUAUUUUUACCUCUCGUCUCACUUUUCCUUUCUUUCGAGGUUUCGAGCACUUGCUCCUUUUUAUUUCCUCGUAUCUCUUUUUUUUCUCAUUUUUUUAGAGCACUCAUCUCUUGAGAUAAUAUAGCAAGUGGUAGUAACAAGAUUUCUUGAGCAUUUAUUUCAUAGGGGAAAACAGAAAUAUUUUUGGUUAUUCUCUCCCGGAUUAGGAGUAGAAUAUUUUUAGGUGGCUCUGGAGAUGAGAAUGGAUGAAUAUAUGUGGAUGGUACUUCCGGAGUAGAAGUAGCAUGUAUGAGUGAACGUGCAAGUGAAAUCUUGAUUUAACCACAUGACAAGCUCCUAAGGGUCUACACAGCUUGACCACACUCAAUGCUCAUAAGCAGUAGUAAAUGUUGUGGCUCAAAGUCCAGCAAGCAUGUAUAUAUGGCUGUGGUAGGAAUUUAAAACUCUCAUCAUAGAGGAACUAAUCAUGCAACAUUUUAAAGAUUUUCAAAGAUAAAAUUUUCCAGAAUUCUACCAUCUCUAGGAACAGAUAAACAGCAGCUCAACCUUCCCAUAUCGUAUCCGUUAACAACUUAGACUUCAGAUCAAGUUUUCAUCCCACAAGUUUAGGUCUAGAGCAAGCUUUAAAUUAUAACAGUUAUGUCUAAACUUGAGAGAGAACUUAAAAUGUGCAAAUUAGGCAGAGCAACUAUUCAUCAUAUCCAUGCUUGAGUUUUAUUAUUAAGAUACAGAUUAGCAUAGCCACUUUAUUUAUUUAUUAAACACACUAAGCAAAAGAUACAUAUAUAUAUAAGCAUAAAAUCUUUAUUUGGUCUUUCAUAGUUUAUGUAUUUUAAUAUAGUAUAAGUAUAAAUAUAGAUAGAAAGAUAGAAAUACUUAGCGGGAUAAAUGGGGGUGCUCUCCCCCAAGCUAAAUUUUGACGUAAUUUCUCUUGAUGUAGGUAGCAGGUGGCAGAGGUGUAUUUGAAAGUCAGCAGCAUUCUGACAGCGAUUAGAAUGUCCUCUGUCUGUUAGUCUUCUUGAUUCUUAAAUUCUAUGGAGCUCAAAUAGACAACAAGGCUUGUGGAACUGAUUAAGUGUUAGCAUAAAUAUCUAGCCUUUAUCAUGUUGAGACUCCUUAAUAAUUAUUACUCCCUAUUUUUAUAUUUUCAUUUUAUAAAGCAGAAAAAUAUUUAUUUUAUUUUUAUGCCACCACAGUGAAUGUACUUAUGGGUUUUAUGCCACUCGUAUACUCACAUGGGGUUACUGUUUUUCACAUUUUUAUUUUCUUUUUAGGCUAGUAUGAAUAUGAUUAACUAAGUAAACUAGUUGACAUAAUUGAAAGGGAAAGGAUAACUACCAAGUUUACCUCUUGGCAAGGCGUUCGGUGUUUUUAAGUCCUCCGAACGGGACUCUCCGUUUUCUUAAUUGUCCUGGAAUUCGUUGGGUGGCGUAGUCGGUACUUCCGGCGGCGCCUCCUCUUCAUGUAUGGUUAUCUUCUCUCUCCACACCUGACUUGGUGCUACGGUCUCCUCUGGAUAAUUCUGUUUAGACUCUACGUCUUCUGACCUUAUCACUUCUCCUUCGUAGUCUGCCCAUCCGUCCUUGAUGAUUUGCAUCCUCUGGUUGCGGUUGCGUCAUUUCCUUACCUGCUUAGAUUCUUCAACGAUAUAGUUAGGGUCAGUAAAAUAACGGCGUACCUUCUCUGAGGGGAAGUGCAUAUGGACUUCUCCAGUUCCAAUGUAGAUGAUUGCUUUAACGGUGCUGAGGAACGGUCUUCCAAGGAUGAUGGGUGGAUCGUACUCGUCUUCUCCCAUGUCAAUAACCUGAAAGUCUGUGUAGACAAAAUAAUCGUCUAUUUUGACUGGGACAUCAGUUAACUUCUCAAAACGUCUGAUCUACCAUCUAGAGCUGAAUGUAUGUUGGUCUUAAGGGCAUGGUUCCGAACAAGAGCCGAUAGGUGACUGCGGCCAUUAUGUUGACGCCCGAUCCGGUGUCGCAAAACGUCUUGUAGAAGCUGUAUCCAUUUAUGGAGCAGUAGAUGCUUGGCAUUCCUGGGUCAUACUUCUUGGUCAAAAACGGUGACUUAAGUUGAUGAUCUUGGCCUCCAUGAACUACAGUGACCAUCUUAGCUGACUCGGUCCACACUUGCUUGUUCCUGUUCCUCCUGUUGGUCCUCUUCCUUGAUUCAUGUCUGGAU